CACACUAGUAUAUUUCCAGCACCGCCGCGCCUUAAGGGAAAUUGAGUUGACAUGUUUUUCGAGGCAAACACGUUUUUGCAUAUUUGGGUCGUGGAUUUGUUUCCUAAACUCAUUAUUUCCAGUUUAAUAUUAGUUUUCUAUUAUAGCUAGGAUAUUAGGAUAGAUUUUGAUUGAUUCUAGGGUUUACAAUUGCUACUAUUAUUUAAGGUUACUAUACUCAUUCAAUAUUAUCAGAUUCAUUAAAAUUCUUGUGAGAUUAACCUUUUGGUUUUUUAAAGAAUUCCCAAGUUAUUUUCUUAGUUCUUCUUUGAGAUUCAAUUUGACUUAUUAUACAACAAUACAUAGUUGUGUGUGGCGUCUUCUACCGUAUCAAAAAUUGAUUGUACCGACAUUACCGCUUCAAUAUAAGCGAGGGAUCAAGGUGUCGUUGGUUCUCAUUCAACGCAGAAUUCUUAACGCGAACAAUUGUACCGAGAUUAUCGUCUACAUAUAGGCGAGAAGUUAAAAUGUUGUGAGCAAUUCAUCCUACAACUUUGCUAAAAACGAUCCUGGCGACGACUACCUCAAGCAAGAGUACCGUGGAGUCCAUCAAGAUGGCAAUAGAGCUGUCAUGUAGGGAUCCAAGAUGAAAGAUUUGCAAAUGCAGAAGCUAUUCUACAUGGCCAAAG
Molecule: long non-coding RNA, 668 nt
Filed under: Panax ginseng (ginseng)
Lineage: Eukaryota; Viridiplantae; Streptophyta; Magnoliopsida; Apiales; Araliaceae
Description: long non-coding RNA (PGIN_LNC002270)
Source: RNAcentral